Molecule: ribosomal RNA, 253 nt
Filed under: uncultured bacterium
Lineage: Bacteria
Description: partial 16S ribosomal RNA
Rfam family: Bacterial small subunit ribosomal RNA
Source: RNAcentral
UACGUAGGUGGCAAGCGUUGUCCGGAAUCAUUGGGCGUAAAGCGCGUGUAGGCGGUCCGGUAAGUCCGCUGUGAAAGUCGGGGGCUCAACCCUCGGAUGCCGGUGGAUACUGUCGGGCUUGAGUACGGAAGAGGCGAGUGGAAUUCCUGGUGUAGCGGUGAAAUGCGCAGAUAUCAGGAGGAACACCAAUUGCGAAGGCAGCUCGCUGGGACGUUACUGACGCUGAGACGCGAAAGCGUGGGGAGCAAACGGG